This 358-nucleotide long non-coding RNA is filed under the name Gossypium raimondii (Peruvian cotton). RNAcentral's name for it is "long non-coding RNA (GRAI_LNC004466)". The record is from RNAcentral. Lineage: Eukaryota; Viridiplantae; Streptophyta; Magnoliopsida; Malvales; Malvaceae.
GAAAGGGGGUUCGACCACAAAGUUAAGAGAAAAGAGAAAAUCAAAUGAGUGGAGGAGGAAGGGUUUCCCGUUAUGGUUCGCGGCGGUUCACGAUGGCGAUGGUGGUGGUGAGGGUCGGUGACCGAAAGAAAAAAGGAGAAGAGAUUAUUGGGUGGUGGAGUCGUGGUGGUGAAACUAUAGCCCGCAGUGGAGGAAUUUUAGGUGAUGGUUGUUUCUCAAAUGGAGAGAAAAUAGAGAUGAAAGAAAAUUGAAAAAAAUAGAGAAUAUGGGAGAAAUGAGAGAGGUAAGGACAGAAAUGGGUGUGUGUAGCUUGGUCAACUAUGAUCAGGUUCAAUGAAUCAAAUCAAAUACGCAAGAU